RNAcentral lists this ribosomal RNA (465 nucleotides) under Vreelandella stevensii. RNAcentral's name for it is "partial 16S ribosomal RNA". It matches the Rfam family "Bacterial small subunit ribosomal RNA", at positions 338 to 795 of the family's 1533-position model. Lineage: Bacteria; Pseudomonadati; Pseudomonadota; Gammaproteobacteria; Oceanospirillales; Halomonadaceae. The record is from RNAcentral.
CCUACGGGGGGCAGCAGUGGGGAAUAUUGGACAAUGGGGGCAACCCUGAUCCAGCCAUGCCGCGUGUGUGAAGAAGGCCCUCGGGUUGUAAAGCACUUUCAGUGAGGAAGAACGCCUGGUGGUUAAUACCCAUCAGGAAAGACAUCACUCACAGAAGAAGCACCGGCUAACUCCGUGCCAGCAGCCGCGGUAAUACGGAGGGUGCGAGCGUUAAUCGGAAUUACUGGGCGUAAAGCGCGCGUAGGUGGCUUGAUAAGCCGGUUGUGAAAGCCCCGGGCUCAACCUGGGAACGGCAUCCGGAACUGUCAAGCUAGAGUGCAGGAGAGGAAGGUAGAAUUCCCGGUGUAGCAGUGAAAUGCGUAGAGAUCGGGAGGAAUACCAGUGGCGAAGGCGGCCUUCUGGACUGACACUGACACUGAGGUGCGAAAGCGUGGGUAGCAAACAGGAUUAGAUACCCCGGUAGUC